Molecule: ribosomal RNA, 492 nt
Filed under: uncultured bacterium
Lineage: Bacteria
Description: partial 16S ribosomal RNA
Rfam family: Bacterial small subunit ribosomal RNA
Source: RNAcentral
AGUGAACGCUGGCGGUAGGCCUAACACAUGCAAGUCGAACGGCAGCACAGUAAGAGCUUGCUCUUACGGGUGGCGAGUGGCGGACGGGUGAGGAAUACAUCGGAAUCUACUUUUUCGUGGGGGAUAACGUAGGGAAACUUACGCUAAUACCGCAUACGACCUACGGGUGAAAGCAGGGGAUCUUCGGACCUUGCGCGAUUGAAUGAGCCGAUGUCGGAUUAGCUAGUUGGCGGGGUAAAGGCCCACCAAGGCGACGAUCCGUAGCUGGUCUGAGAGGAUGAUCAACCACACUGGAACUGAGACACGGUCCAGACUCCUACGGGAGGCAGCAGUGGGAAAUAUUGGACAAAGGGCGCAAGCCUGAUCCAGCCAUACCGCGUGGGUGAAGAAGGCCUUAGAGUUGUAAAGCCCUUUUGUUGGGAAAGAAAAGCAGCAGGUUAAUACCCCGCUGUUCUGACGGUACCCAAAGAAUAAGCACCGGCUAACUUCGUG